GAGCGAGAAAGGGGCUUCGGCUCCGAGUAAAGCGGCGCACGGGUGCGUAACACGUGGGUAAUCUUCCUCCNGGGUUGGGAAUAACUCUUCGAAAGGAGAGCUAAUACCGAAUAAGCCCACGUCCCCUUAGGGGGACGAGGGAAAAGGUGGCCUCUGCAUGCAAGCUAUCGCCUGGAGAUGAGCCCGCGGCCCAUCAUGCUAGUUGGCGGGGUAACGGCCCACCAAGGCUACGACGGGUAGCUGGUCUGAGAGGACGAUCAGCCACACUGGAACUGAGACACGGUCCAGACUCCUACGGGAGGCAGCAGUGGGGAAUCUUGCGCAAUGGGCGAAAGCCUGACGCAGCAACGCCGCGUGAGUGAUGAAGGCCUUCGGGUCGUAAAGCUCUUUCAGGAGGGACGAAACCGCUCCGGGAUAACAACCGGAGCCUUGACGGUACCUUCAGAAGAAGCACCGGCUAACUCUGUG
Molecule: ribosomal RNA, 468 nt
Filed under: uncultured bacterium
Lineage: Bacteria
Description: bacterial SSU rRNA
Rfam family: Bacterial small subunit ribosomal RNA
Source: RNAcentral